Non-coding RNA from Caerostris darwini, 91 nucleotides. The record is from the annotation of a GenBank genome assembly. NCBI's taxonomy places the organism in Eukaryota, Metazoa, Arthropoda, Arachnida, Araneae, Araneidae.
ACGGCCAUACCAUGCUGAAUAUACCGGUUCUCGUUAGAUCACCGAAGUCAAGCAUCAUUGGGCGCGAGCACCUGGGAACACCACGUGCCGU